UAAACCAGGGUCUGUGGGCCUUGAGAAGAUGUCAGAACCACUAGACUACGCGGCUGUUCCCCUCCCUCUUCAUGUCCCAGGAGGCUGCAGACCCACAUCCGUCUUGGAGCCCAUGUUCCACACACCACCCAGGAGUGCUGAAAGGUAGCCCUCGCUCUUCCGGUCUCCACCAUCCUCUUCCCAGGGCCUCACACUGGAGAGGUGAGAAGUCAGUACCAAGUAGCCGGCCACUUUCUCCCCUCCAACCUGAGCCAGACUGUGCCUUGAAGAUGACUCUGUUUUGUCAACUGUACAAAAAAUCAGAAUCACAACAAUCUGAAGACCAGAAAUUCCUUCAGAAUCUCAACAAGUCCCCAUAUGCCAUCUGUCUCUCUGUCCAUCUCCAAAUCAACAUUUCCUUUGACUACACAAUUAGCCGGAAUAAAAUACUGUCUCUAUUUUGUAUUUAUUGUUUUACUCUGCUUUAAUUAGUUACUAAUACUCUGGGAGCAUUGAGACCUGUUCUUUUUCAUUGUGACACAGCAGUAUUUCAGCUAAAUUCACGAUUGUGUGCCGGCGUGGGAACCAAUCUACCAUUCCUAGGAAAACAGCUCACCUUCCAAAGAGCUGACUUCCAAAGUCCAGAACAUGAUCU
This 634-nucleotide long non-coding RNA is filed under the name Chinchilla lanigera (long-tailed chinchilla). RNAcentral describes it as "lncRNA (ENSCLAG00000023986.1)". The record is from RNAcentral. Lineage: Eukaryota; Metazoa; Chordata; Mammalia; Rodentia; Chinchillidae.